CGCAUAAUGGAUGAAAGUGAAGAUUGUGAAGUUAUUGUCACUCCAUCACCAUAAAGCCCAGAUUCUGUGGUAAAAAGAAUGGUGUAACUAUCACCAUUCACUACGGCUGAAGUGGGAAUCAGACAACAGUUUCUGAUGGCCAGACACAUACCGUUUUAUUUCUGGGAUGCUCGGAUAACAGACAUGGUCCUUGGAUGGUUUGCUGAGGGACUCAUCCAAAGGCUGAAAUAGAGAUACAGGACUCCCUGAUUGAACAGCAGUUUGGGAUUUACCUCUUCACAAUCUCCUCAUAAUUCCAUCAGCUGCAGUGAGCCAAGUCUUAUUAUUCAUUCUUGGCUGAGAGGCCAGUUUUAACAGCUGUUUCCCAGAGUUCAUGAAGAGCGAAUAGCAUUGAAAUGUCAUCACUUGCUUUGGAUGGUGUGACGUGACAUGGGGGGGUUUAUGGGUAAAGGUGCAACAUUUGACACAGGAGACAUUGACCUGAGACAAAAAGAUUCCAUGACUACAACAGGCUAAGUUUCAGACUGGCUCCUCAAGGAACCUUCCUUAGGCUUCGCCAUCACUUUCUGCUACUCUCAAUGGCCAGCAGGAAUAGAGCUGGAAUGUGUGAUGAGUGCAUUUCUUCCCUUUCAGCAAUCACAUGCUCCUUCUUCAGGUUUAAAGGGUGGUGCUACCUCAUCUCUUACAUGUGUUUUCCUAUGGGGUGUCGUCAACCCUCAACUGCUAGCCUUUCCUUCACUGACACAAUCUCAUUGCAGGAGAGAAUGAAACUGCAAAAGCCAAACAAGUCCUGAUACCAAAACGAUUAAGUCAAGAUAACAUGUUCAUUUUACACCAGGGGCACGGGUGUUACAUCCACAUGAUUUCUGGCACAUGAAUCUGUGCACUACUUGGGACUGAAUUGUGUAUUCAGCAACUUGUGAAUGUAUGUGACACAUACCUAAUGUACCAACUCCGGCAGCGAAGGAAAUCUUUAUACACAAUAUUCUACCCACUCCUUGGUCAAAAAUAGCAACUGUAUACAGGAAGAUUAAUUCCUUGUGAAAGGGCAGUUCACUAAAUUUCCCAUUGCUCAAAGACUCAGAACAUUUUGAGAAUGACAGUUGACAGUUUCAGUCACACACCAGAUAAUCUCAGACAACAGACUGCAAUGCUUUGGCCAAACUGUUUCAAGAUUUGUGUACUAAGUGGGGAGUGACUGGUAUCAUAUUGUCACCCCACUAUCCUCAUUCAGAUGGUAUAAUAGAACAUAUGUUGUGUACUUUCAAGUCAGUGUGCCAUCCACAGCACAACAUACAUUUGGGAAGCAAAUCAGCCUUGUUCAGAAAUUGUCUAACCAUUCCAAGAUACAGGACUUUCUUCCUCAAAGACAGAGGAGAAUGAAAGUGAUUCAUAAUGAGUGAGCACGUAAAAAAACAAACAAAACCAUACAAUGACCAAAGGUUUUGAGUUAGAAUUUGUAGUGAUUGGAACUAGAUGGACAUUGUUCACUAUAAGAUCCUUGAUUGGAGUUGUUGACCUGGGCCAGUCAGGAAAGCCCUCGCUAAGCAAUAUAGCCAGGAAGUUAGAAUCUCCUCCAUUCAGGGGACUGACUCUGACACAGCCUGGGUACUGUGCACAAGUAAAUAAAGGGUGGCUCGGUGAUAGGAUACUGGCCUCGCUGCAGUUAUCACAGAAAUACAAACACAAAUGCUAAUACUUGGAUACCAGCAAAGGUUUCUCAAAUUUACCGAUCAUAUGAAGUGAUUAUUGAUUAUGGAUCUACAUUGCAAAGGGACAGAAGGCACUCAGACCAAUGUAUGACACACCAAUCAUUCAGCGAGAGAGUGAUCAGGAACGCUCUGUGGCUGAUUGUACACGAUGAUGUUGACUGGCAGGAACCAGCAACAAACCAGCCAAAGUGACAACCAUGUGGCAUGGAAAACAAUGCCUACCUCCUCAGACAACUAUAAGCUCACCAGGUCAAGACAAGUUGCAGACUUCCAAAGUAUUACAUUAUAAACGCAGUUUUACCCCUUUGUAAAAUUAUUGAACUGAGAACACAUGCCUGUGUAUAACCAUGUACAUCUGUUUGAGAUAAGUUUAUAUCUUUAGAGAAAGGGGCAUCAUUAUAUCACAUCUCACAAUCAGAAUUUUUCAAAGACACACUCAUGAUAUUGUUACUGUAUCAUAGCAAGUGACUUGAGGAUGUAAAGAUCUCAUACUCCAUCUUUCCCUGGGAUCACUUGAAGAAUGACACACAUAUGAAAGUGUUCUCUGUGUCAUCUAAUUGCUUAAUGUUUGAAAAAAUAAUUGGGUGCUAUUGUAAUAUUCACACAUAAUA
Stegostoma tigrinum is the source of this 2323-nucleotide long non-coding RNA. RefSeq lists it as uncharacterized. The record is from RefSeq and is a predicted model, not a curated record. Lineage: Eukaryota; Metazoa; Chordata; Chondrichthyes; Orectolobiformes; Stegostomatidae. The transcript has 4 exons.